CCUACGGGAGGCUGCAGUGGGGAAUAUUGGACAAUGGGGGGAACCCUGAUCCAGCGACGCCGCGUGGGGGAAUGAAGGUCUUCGGAUUGUAAACCCCUGUCAUGUGGGAGCAAAUUAAAAAGAUAGUACCACAAGAGGAAGAGACGGCUAACUCUGUGCCAGUAGCCGCGGUAAUACAGAGGUCUCAAGCGUUGUUCGGAAUCACUGGGCGUAAAGCGUGUGUAGGCUGUUUCGUAAGUCGUGUGUGAAAGGCGGGGGCUCAACCCGCGGACGGCACAUGAUACUGCGAGACUAGAGUAAUGGAGGGGGAACUGGAAUUCUCGGUGUAGCAGUGAAAUGCGUAGAUAUCGAGAGGAACACUCGUGGCGAAGGCGGGUUCCUGGACAUUAACUGACGCUGAGGCACGAAGGCCAGGGGAGCGAAAGGGAUUAGAUACCCUAGUAGUC
Molecule: ribosomal RNA, 446 nt
Filed under: uncultured bacterium
Lineage: Bacteria
Description: partial 16S ribosomal RNA
Rfam family: Bacterial small subunit ribosomal RNA
Source: RNAcentral